RNAcentral lists this ribosomal RNA (492 nucleotides) under uncultured bacterium. Its description in RNAcentral is "partial 16S ribosomal RNA". It matches the Rfam family "Bacterial small subunit ribosomal RNA", at positions 29 to 507 of the family's 1533-position model. The record is from RNAcentral.
AGUGAACGCUGGCGGUAGGCCUAACACAUGCAAGUCGAACGGCAGCACAGUAAGAGCUUGCUCUUACGGGUGGCGAGUGGCGGACGGGUGAGGAAUACAUCGGAAUCUACUUUUUCGUGGGGGAUAACGUAGGGAAACUUACGCUAAUACCGCAUACGACCUACGGGUGAAAGCAGGGGAUCUUCGGACCUUGCGCGAUUGAAUGAGCCGAUGUCGGAUUAGCUAGUUGGCGGGGUAAAGGCCCACCAAGGCGACGGUCCGUAGCUGGUCUGAGGGAAUGAUCAGCCACACUGGAACUGAGACACGGUCCAGGCGCCUACGGGAGGCAGCAGUAGGGAAUAUUGAACAAUGGGCGCAAGCGUGAGGAAGCCAUACCGCGUGGGUGAAGAAGGCCUUCGGGUGGUAAAGGCCUUUUGUUGGGAAAGAAAAGCAGCACGUUUAUACCCCGCUGUUCUGUCGGUACCCAAUUAAUGAGCACCGGCUAACUUCGUG